Girardinichthys multiradiatus is the source of this 1291-nucleotide long non-coding RNA. RefSeq lists it as uncharacterized. The record is from RefSeq and is a predicted model, not a curated record. The transcript has 3 exons. NCBI's taxonomy places the organism in Eukaryota, Metazoa, Chordata, Actinopteri, Cyprinodontiformes, Goodeidae.
UGCCAACCGCCAAUAAACAAAAAAAAUAGAAGAAGAAGAAGAAGACAUUUAUAUAUAAAUCUAUAUAUGUAGAUAUAUAUAUAUACAGUUACGCUGUGGCGCUUACAUCGUGCCCCGAGUGUAACACACUGGGCUGCAGCUUUGCCACCCUGGAUGAUACGUCCUUGUCACGCAUACGGAACCGUCAGCACAACCAGCAGUGUUGAAGACACAUUAUUUGAGGAAAUUAGUUGUAGAGCAGGUGCGAACAUGGUGAGCGGAGAAGAGUCGGAUCAUCCCUCUGCAGAAGAUACUGCUAAAAUCCAUGACACCAAGUCAAGAGGACAGCUCCAUCAUCAAAGAUGCCAAGGCAGUCAUCACCGAAGACCUGGAAGUCAGAUAUGGGAACCUGAGCUUUAGGAUUAUCAGCACAGAACAACAGCCCUGGAUCCAAGAUUUAAGUCCCUGCCCUACUUGGAAGAAGCCUGUGUUCAGAAAAUGUACAGUGAUGUCAUAAGGGAAAUCAUGGAAAUUAAAGAGCAGGGUCCACCCGGAGAAGUCCAGGUGGACAGUUCUUCCUCUGCUGGAAAGCCAGAGGCAUCAGGAAGGUCAUCUCCUCCCAAGAAAAAAAGUGCCAUGGCAGAGCUUUUUGGGGAGUUCUUUCCAACAGAGAAGGAAACCACCAAACCUUUGUCCCAGAUCACUGGGGAGGAGGUAAUGUCAUACAGGCUCACAGACUGCAUCCCUGUGGAUUCAGAUCCACUUGCAUGGUGGAAGAACAACGAGCAUAAAUGUCCUCACAUUGCUAAGUUGGCACAACAUCACCUCACAGUCCAAGGUACAUCUGUACCAAGUGAGAGAGUUUUCUCUACAGCAGAGGACAUUGUCCCUGCAAGUUUGGUUUACGUUGCAUUUUAUAUUGAUGACCUCUGCAUUAUUUAUUUUAUUUUGUUAUUUUAGAUAACAUAGUGACAUUUUAAGUGUGAUAAAAACUCCAGCCUCAUUUCUUUGAUUGUAUUUCAAACACCGCACUUCAAUUUCAUGUGGAAAAUGCUUUUCGUGAACCACAGGGAGUUGAAACUUGCUACAUGUUAGAAGAAACAUGUUAUUUUUGUGUUGAUUUCAAAGUGAUAUGUCGGAUAGAGCCUAUGUUUUACUUUAUGUUGAUGGUAUAUAAUGUGCUGUAAAAACUCACAGUUGUUAAAUUCUUGUAUAUGCACCAAUUUAAGGAUAGAGAUGUAAAAGUCGUUUUUACUUUUUAUAUUAGAUGAAGAUAUUGUUUUCCAAAUAAAUGAAAAGCAUGUUGGAACUA